RNAcentral lists this ribosomal RNA (424 nucleotides) under uncultured prokaryote. RNAcentral's name for it is "bacterial SSU rRNA". It matches the Rfam family "Bacterial small subunit ribosomal RNA", at positions 355 to 796 of the family's 1533-position model. The record is from RNAcentral.
UGGGGAAUCUUAGACAAUGGGUGAAACCCUGAUCUAGCCAUGCCGCGUGAGUGACGAAGGCCUUAGGGUCGUAAAGCUCUUUCGCCAGGGAUGAUAAUGACAGUACCUGGUAAAGAAACCCCGGCUAACUCCGUGCCAGCAGCCGCGGUAAUACGGAGGGGGUUAGCGUUGUUCGGAAUUACUGGGCGUAAAGCGCACUUAGGCGGACUAUUAAGUCAGGGGUGAAAUCCCGGGGCUCAACCCCGGAACUGCCUUUGAUACUGGUAGUCUUGAGUUCGAGAGAGGUGAGUGGAAUUCCGAGUGUAGAGGUGAAAUUCGUAGAUAUUCGGAGGAACACCAGUGGCGAAGGCGGCUCACUGGCUCGAUACUGACGCUGAGGUGCGAAAGCGUGGGGAGCAAACAGGAUUAGAUACCCGUGUAGUCC